GAACCCAGCAACAGGAAGUCUGUUAGCCAGGGACUCACAGAUAAUGCCUCUGUGGCGUGCCAGUGGGUAUCCGUGAGAGGGGAAGGCUGCUGGGUUCUGAUAUUACAUCCUCAUAAGUACUAUGGGAAAACUCUUUAAAAGCUCAUGGUUUGUGGUCUAUGCUGGUUUUUGUAAUUGUGUCGUCGUGGCAACCAUUUGCAAAGCAUCCCAAGUACUUCUGCCGCUCUGAAGCCCCACCCGGAUUCUCCCUGACUUUAUGGGAAGUUUGUGUCUGGGGAUUGAACUCGGGUCAUCAGGAUACAAGCAUCUAUACCACUGAGCCAUCUCUCCAGCCAGCACCUUUGAUUCUGUGUUGAUUGUUCCUGUUGGAAAGAGGCUAGAGUCAGCCCAUGAGGUAUACAAACCAGACAGCACAGUCUUGAGAAGAGGGUUCAGCCAAGAUCUCAGUGCUCACUUGCCUUCUGUAGCGGGCAUCCCCGCAAGCAGAGCUCACUUGUGCAAUCCCGGGAACUGGGCUGUCUUGUUGGCUGGAAAACACAAGAUCUUCCGGCUAUGCACGUGGGUGUCUGGGUAUCACCGGAUGGUGCUUUCACUGUUAUCUGAGUAAGAGCAGAAGUCUGGAGGCUGUCCGGGCACAUCAAAGCAUGUGCAGAGCUCAGAUAAAGGCCUUCUGGUUGCGCCCUCCUCAUUGCCUGCGGGAGAACGUGGGGACCAUGCUCAUCCCGGAACGUUCAACGGGUUCAGAUUUCAUGGAGUAAACUCAACCUUGUUGGUCGUUGGUUCCAGAAAAUUCUCCUUGGCCCUCACUCAGCCCUUCUCCUAGCUCAGAGAGAAUUCCUUCCGAACUGCGCCUUUACCUUCCUGUGGUCCACCCCUCCUCUGUAAAGAUUCCUUUACACUUGGAGCAUCUCUUAUUUUUGCUCACAGCCUCACUGGCAAAUAAAUAAAGAGAAGUAUAUAAACACACAA
RNAcentral lists this long non-coding RNA (969 nucleotides) under Mus musculus (house mouse). RNAcentral's name for it is "predicted gene 13842, transcript variant 2 (Gm13842)". The record is from RNAcentral. Lineage: Eukaryota; Metazoa; Chordata; Mammalia; Rodentia; Muridae.